Molecule: ribosomal RNA, 503 nt
Filed under: uncultured bacterium
Lineage: Bacteria
Description: partial 16S ribosomal RNA
Rfam family: Bacterial small subunit ribosomal RNA
Source: RNAcentral
AACGAACGCUGGCGGCGUGCCUAACACAUGCAAGUCGAACGAGAAAGGGGCUUCGGCUCCGAGUAAAGUGGCGCAUGGGUGAGUAACACGUGGGUAACCUGCCUCUAAGAUUGGGAUAACUCGUCGAAAGAUGAGCUAAUACCGAAUAAGACCACAGUUCCCGCGGGAACAGGGGUCAAAGGUAGCCUCUGCUUGCAAGCUAUCACUUAGAGAUGGGCCUGCGCACCAUUAGCUAGUUGGUAGGGUAACGGCCUACCAAGGCAAAGAUGGUUAGCUGGUCUGAGAGGAUGAUCAGCCACACUGGAACUGAGACACGGUCCAGACUCCUACGGGAGGCAGCAGUGGGGAAUAUUGCGCAAUGGGCGAAAGCUUGACGCAGCAACGCCGCGUGAGUGAUGAAGGCCUUCGGGUCGUAAAGCUCUGUCGGGAGGAACGAAUGCUCCUGAGGUUAACAGCCUCGGGAGGUGACGGUACCUUCAAAGGAAGCACCGGCUAACUCUGUG